RNAcentral lists this ribosomal RNA (498 nucleotides) under uncultured Pseudomonadota bacterium. Its description in RNAcentral is "bacterial SSU rRNA". It matches the Rfam family "Bacterial small subunit ribosomal RNA", at positions 355 to 867 of the family's 1533-position model. Lineage: Bacteria; Pseudomonadati; Pseudomonadota. The record is from RNAcentral.
UGGGGAAUAUUGGACAAUGGGCGCAAGCCUGAUCCAGCCAUGCCGCGUGAGUGACGAAGGCCUUAGGGUUGUAAAGCUCUUUUGGCGGGGACGAUAAUGACGGUACCCGCAGAAUAAGUCCCGGCUAACUUCGUGCCAGCAGCCGCGGUAAUACGAAGGGGACUAGCGUUGUUCGGAAUCACUGGGCGUAAAGCGCACGUAGGCGGAUUGUUAAGUCAGGGGUGAAAUCCCGGGGCUCAACCUCGGAACUGCCUUUGAUACUGGCGAUCUCGAGUCCGGAAGAGGUGGGUGGAAUUCCUAGUGUAGAGGUGAAAUUCGUAGAUAUUAGGAAGAACACCAGUGGCGAAAGGCGGCCCACUGGUCCGGAACUGACGCUGAGGUGCGAAAAGCGUGGGGAGCAAAACAGGAUUAGAUACCCUGGUAGUCCACGCCGUAAAACGAUGGAUGCUAGCCGUCGGCAAGCUUGCUUGUCGGUGGCGCAGCUAACGCAUUAAGCAU